Meriones unguiculatus (Mongolian gerbil) is the source of this 1043-nucleotide long non-coding RNA. RefSeq lists it as uncharacterized. NCBI's taxonomy places the organism in Eukaryota, Metazoa, Chordata, Mammalia, Rodentia, Muridae. The transcript has 3 exons. The record is from RefSeq and is a predicted model, not a curated record.
ACAACACACAGGAUUAUGUUUCAAAUCUAAUAUAAUCAACCAAUUUAAAUUUACAAUCCUAAACUCAUUUAAGUUUAGGAUUGUAAAACAGUGGGGGAAGUCACCCAUUACAACGCCCACGGAAGUGCUUUAAAACCUUUUUUUACGGAGCAGACGUGGGGUUAAAUAAGGACAUUUUAAUACCAGGCUUUAGAGAGAGGAACUCAGAAACUGGAGAGCAUGGCCAUGGGCUUCUCAAAGAGGUGUGUCCCUGAGUCUUAAAGAUGGGAGAAUGAAAACGUCCAUUUAUUGUGCUGGUUACGAACGGUUGCUGCUCUUCAGGGGCCCGGAGUCCGGUGCUCAGCACUCAGCGUCGGGCGGCUCAGAGUCACUGUAACUCCAGCUCCAGGGAAAUCCAUAGUUUUCUGGGCCUCCGAGGAUACCCAGCCCCACGUGAGCAGACACGUGAAAGAAAAGAAGAAGUCUUUUCUUUCUUCACAAUAUCACACACUUUACUUGAGGAGCCAACUCCCCAGACCUCACAAAAUAUUUUCUGGGUAAUUACGCUGUACAAGCCGCUGUUGCAGGUGUGGCGAGAACAGAACGAGGGAAACGACUCCCGGCAUUCAUUUUAGAAGAGACUGCCUGUGAGCUGGUACAGAGAAACUUCAGCAGGAGUCAAGGCAGGGACCUGGACAUGGAAACUGAAGCGAACACCAUGGAGGAAUAGUGUUUACUGUUCCUGACGGCUUGUUCCGCCCGUCCACCCACAGAGCUUUCUCUUCCCAGCAAACCCCAUACUGAUGGACUGACUCAACGAGUUCAAGGCCUGCUCAGGACAUGUCACACAACAGUUGCGGGGCCAAUCAAACCUUGCUUUCCUCAAAUGGACCAACCUUAAGUUAGAGGAGGAAAACUUCAGAGGCUUUAAAAGCCCAACCAUAGAGGAGAUCCUAAUUUUCAGCUGAGUCUGCCUCUGCUUUGCAGAGGGUCUUUUAAAACUCUGUGUCUGCUGCGCAUGUGGGCUUCCUUAUCCCCAAUAAAUGCCUUUCUCUGACUGCUGA